RNAcentral lists this ribosomal RNA (424 nucleotides) under uncultured prokaryote. RNAcentral's name for it is "bacterial SSU rRNA". It matches the Rfam family "Bacterial small subunit ribosomal RNA", at positions 355 to 796 of the family's 1533-position model. The record is from RNAcentral.
UGGGGAAUAUUGGACAAUGCGGGAAACCGUGAUCCAGCAAUGCCGCGUGAGUGAUUAAGGCCUUAGGGUUGUAAAGCUCUUUUACCAGGGAUGAUAAUGACAGUACCUGGAGAAUAAGCUCCGGCUAACUCCGUGCCAGCAGGGGCGGUAAUACGGAGGGAGCUAGGGUUGUACGGAAUUACUGGCCAUAAAGCGCGCGUAGGCGGCUAUUCAAGUCAGGGGUGAAAUCCCGGGGCUCAACCCCGGAACUGCCCUUGAAACUAGGUAGCUAGAAUACUGGAGAGGUGAGUGGAAUUCCGAGUGUAGAGGUGAAAUUCGUAGAUAUUCGGAAGAACACCAGUGGCGAAGGCGACUCACUGGACAGUUAUUGACGCUGAGGUGCGAAAGCGUGGGGAGCAAACAGGAUUAGAUACCCCUGUAGUCC